UACGUAGGGCGCAAGCGUUGUCCGGAAUUAUUGGGCGUAAAGGGCGCGUAGGCGGCUUGCACCGUCAGAUGUGAAAUUCCUGGGCUUAACCUGGGGGCUGCAUUUGAUACGUGUGGGCUUGAGUGCGGAAGAGGGUCGUGGAAUUCCCAGUGUAGAGGUGAAAUUCGUAGAUAUUGGGAAGAACACCGGUGGCGAAGGCGGCGACCUGGUCCGUGACUGACGCUGAGGCGCGAAAGCGUGGGGAGCAAACAGG
Molecule: ribosomal RNA, 253 nt
Filed under: uncultured bacterium
Lineage: Bacteria
Description: partial 16S ribosomal RNA
Rfam family: Bacterial small subunit ribosomal RNA
Source: RNAcentral